Molecule: ribosomal RNA, 253 nt
Filed under: uncultured bacterium
Lineage: Bacteria
Description: partial 16S ribosomal RNA
Rfam family: Bacterial small subunit ribosomal RNA
Source: RNAcentral
UACAGAGGGGGCAAGCGUUGUUCGGAAUUACUGGGCGUAAAGAGCGCGCAGGCGGUCGUUCAAGUCGCGUGUGAAAGCCCCCGGCUCAACUGGGGAGGGUCACGCGAUACUGAUCGACUGGAAGGCAGGAGAGGGUAGUGGAAUUCCCGGUGUAGUGGUGAAAUGCGUAGAUAUCGGGAGGAACACCAGUGGCGAAGGCGACUUCCUGGCCUGUUCUUGACGCUGAGGCGCGAAAGCUAGGGGAGCAAACGGG